Molecule: non-coding RNA, 587 nt
Organism: Hirundo rustica (Barn swallow)
Lineage: Eukaryota; Metazoa; Chordata; Aves; Passeriformes; Hirundinidae
Source: the annotation of a RefSeq genome assembly
CGCAGCUUGCUCUCGCCAUGCACCUCGCCUGUCUCAUCCUCACCGUCUUCCUGGGACAGCUCCUGGGCACCACGGGACAGGUCACGGUCACCCAGGAAAAUGGACCAGUCAUGGUGAAGCAGGGACACACCUUCCAGACCACUUGCAAAUACCAGACCAGUUAUCCUCCUUCUUUGCUCUGGUAUAAGCUGCAGAAAGGCCAAGGCCCACAGCUGGUCUCCUAUCAAGCAGGGCCUGGCUCCAAGCGCAAUGGCCGUAUCACCACGCACCUGAACACCACGGGGAAAUCCAGUGUCCUGCGGGUGGAGGAAGUGCAGGGCUCUGACACUGCCUUGUACCUCUGUGCUGUGCAAGACACCCUGCUGCAGGGAGCUUCCUCAGCUGUGCAACAACCCAGGGGAGGGAGGGGAUGUGUCUGUGCCAGGCGGAGGUUGGGGAGGGGACGCUGGGCUCAGCUCAGUGCUCCCCAGAAGUUGCCUCACACAUGUGUGCAUGGUGGAUUUGUUUUCGAUUCCGUGUCGGUGAUGUGCGGGAUGGGACACGGCUGUCUCUUGGCUCUGGCGAUGCCGAAAUUGUUGCGUGUCUGA